UAAUUAAAUAGUAGGAAGGCAAGGAAUAUUCGGCUAAGAAGAGCUACAACGUACAAGUAAUGGAGUAGGAGAAGAACCAAGAGAAAUAAUGUCACACAGCGAAGUGGAGAAAUAAUUUCAAGAGGAGGGAAUCAGGUGCUGACUCAGCUGAGUCUGAUGCUGUAGACAGUAAGACUAGAACUGAGAGCUGACUCUUGGCUUACAGUAACACGGGGGUCAUUAGCGAUGACCUCAGCAAGAGCUGUUUCAGUGAAGUGGUAGAGGCGAAAGCUUGGUAGGCAUGAGUUAAGAAAGAAUGGGAGGUAAAGGAGUAAGGUAAGUUUCUGGACUUGAUCUCAAAUAUUAAGAAAUGCCCAUGGAAUGGAAUCUGGGAAUGGAAUGCUCUCAGGCAAGAAACAACUACAGCUGUCCCUCUGUAUCCACAGGGAUUGGUUCCAGGACCUCCCAGGGAUACCAAAAUCCAUGGACGUUCAAGUCCCUUGCAUAAAACAGCAAAGAAUUUGCAUAUGACCUACACACAUCCUCCCAUUUACUUUAAAUCAUCUCUAGAUUACUUAAAAAUACCCAAUAAAUGCUAUGUGAAUAGCUGCCAGCAAGUGGCAAUUCAAGCUUUGCUUUUUGGAAUUUUCUGGAAAAAAAUUUUUUUUUCAGAAUAUCUUUCAUUCACUGUUGGUUGAAUCCAUGGAUGCAGAACCCACAGAUAAGAAAGGUGACUGGAGAGGUCUUUUUCUGUACUCAAUAAAUGGUCUUCAUAUUUCUUAUUUUGUGAUUAUCCCCACUCAUUCAAGAGAAGGAGAAAAAAUCUGCAAGUGUCUAUUUAAAGGAAAAAAUGGUAUGAGAGAGAGGAAGUAAAGAGCAACUUGGCAACGAAUCUACUGUUUUUAAACAAGUCAAUAUUAAACAAACACAUCAAUUUUUACUCUAUUUUUCUCUUUGUAUACAAUUUUCAAUUAAUCUAUACCUGCCUUUCCAAUGUGUUCUUCAAAUGAGCCAUUUCACUAUAAUUUCUGCACUGUUUCAGUAAAUACAUUUGCAUCCUAGCUCUUCUGCAGUGUUGAUUUAAAAUUAAUGACUUGAGAUUACAGUUACUGACAUAAAACC
Long non-coding RNA from Bos taurus (domestic cattle), 1101 nucleotides. NCBI's taxonomy places the organism in Eukaryota, Metazoa, Chordata, Mammalia, Artiodactyla, Bovidae. The record is from Ensembl.